GAUGAACGCUGGCGGCGUGCCUAAUACAUGCAAGUCGAGCGAAGGUUUUCUGGUGCUUGCUCUAGAAAGAUUUAGCGGCGCACGGGUGAGUAACACGUAAAGAACCUGUCUCAUAGACGGGGACAACCAUUGGAAACGAUAUCUAAUACCGGAUAACAUUAUUUCUCGCAUUAGAGAAAUGUAAAAGUUGGUUAUUGUAACAUUAUGAUAGUUCUUUGCGUCGCAUUAGCGAGUUUGCGGUGUAAAGGUCCACCAAGGCAACGAGGCAUAGCCGACCUGAGAGGGUGAUCGGCCACACUGGGACUGAGACACGGCCCAGACUCCUACGGGAGGCAGCAGUAGGGAAUCUUCCGCAAUGGGCGAAAGCCUGACGGAGCAACGCCGCGUGAGUGAAGAAGGAUUUCGGUUCGUAAAGCUCUGUUGUUAGGGAAGAAUGGAUAUGUAGUAAACAUACAUGUAAGAGACGGUACCUAACCAGAAAGCCACGGCUAACUACGUG
RNAcentral lists this ribosomal RNA (499 nucleotides) under uncultured bacterium. RNAcentral describes it as "partial 16S ribosomal RNA". It matches the Rfam family "Bacterial small subunit ribosomal RNA", at positions 28 to 507 of the family's 1533-position model. The record is from RNAcentral.